Caretta caretta (loggerhead turtle) is the source of this 1673-nucleotide long non-coding RNA. RefSeq lists it as uncharacterized. The record is from RefSeq and is a predicted model, not a curated record. Lineage: Eukaryota; Metazoa; Chordata; Testudines; Cheloniidae.
GAAUAAGUACAGCCUGAGCAAUGACUGUGCAUUCUGCAUCAAUAACCCUCAAUCUUGAGCUGGAGGGACCAUCUUUAGGGAUUGCCACUCUGCAAGCAGGUUGCUAGCCAAUGUGCUGGUGCAGAGGAGACAAGCUGACCAGUUUUCAGGUUCCUGUAGAUGUACAGAGAUGUCCUCAGACUGCACAUUUGACUUAUAAAGUGGAAAAAUAUCAACAGCCUAAGGGUCAAAUUAUGGUAACUUGGUAUUCUCUUCUGGAUUAUCUCUUGCAACUCGUGUCAAAUCUCAUUUAUGCAUGUGGGAAGAGGAAGGAGAAGAAGAGAGGGAACACAUUCCAGAAAGUAUAGAUGGAUGAUGCUAAAUACAUCUGACAACCACUCAAGCUAGCAACCUCCUUGCACUGUCCUCGUCUAAAAAAUGAGCAACCCAAAGAGCAAGAGCUCUGAGGCAUAAGUGGUUCUCUGAAUUACAGAAAAAACAUUCCUUCUCAUGCAGAUUUGAAGUAAUCCUGUCAUGAUCUGGUGCUGAGCAUCAUAACUCCUUGAGUUCUAGGCUGCCCAGAAGACUGGAAUGGUAAAGCCCACUGUUUUAUUUGUUCUAUGAAAUUGCCUAAAUUUAGUUAUUUCACAGAUAUCCUGAGCCUUGUAUAUAUGGGGAGAUGAGUGAUUUGGAAAUGGAGUUCUGUGAUGUGUUGUUAUACACAGGUACCAUUAGCUGAAACACUAUGGCCAAAAUCAUAGAACCUGAUUCACCCCGGUGUUAAUCCUGUUGAAUACCAGUGGUGGCUCAGGCCCACAAAUGACAGGGAUUCCCCCCUGUGAAACCUACAACAUACACUAGCUCAGAAGUGUUUGAGAAUACUGAGAAAUUCCUUCAAAGGAUAUGGUAUGACUCUAAAGGAUCCUCUCAAGGAAACUACGGGAAUUCAAAACAUUAUCAAAUGGCACUCAGUGGUAAUUUUCAAAAGCAUCACAAAAUUAUUGGCUGAAUGGAUUUUAUCCCAAAAUUAGCAAUAGUGGCCAGAAGCACACCUGAAACAGAUAUGAAAUAUGACAUACAAUAAAUCAUUCCUUACAAACUGCUAAGUACUGAUCUGCAACGGUCUUUCAGAACUUAGUUUGCUGCAUCUAAGUGCAAAAUACAUGUAGCAAUAAUCAAGUGGCAGGAUACUGUAUUUUAGCGUUUUGUUAACUUUUUUUAAAAAUGAUUUCCCUGUACUUUUACAUCAGUAUACUGACAUUUUAUAAUUAUUUUAUAAUAUGUUAUAACUUUCCUUUAGCUAAGCCCCCUCCCUAAUUAAAAAUGAGAUAAAGCUGAAGUAUGACUGAUACUCUUAGUCAUGUUUAUGCUGUCUGCAGCUUUCUUCAAUACUUUUGUGAUGUGCUUAUAGUUUAAAAAUCAACCUUUACUGAUUACUUACUAGCACCAAGAUUUUAGCAAUGGUAGCUGCACUUACAAUGGGUAGAGUGCAUCUGGUAUUCCUUCUUCUCAAUACACGAGAAUCUACAAAUUUGCAAAAUGUAUCAAUAAACAGAUAUAACCAAUGCUUUGUAAGAAUGAGAGAACAAAACUGAUUGCCAUUGUUCUAGAGUUGGUGACAAUCCAUGGCAUUGUAUGCACUGUACAAAUAGAGUAAUAUGCUGAUAUUAAUAUACAGUAUGCACUGUACAAAU